This 468-nucleotide ribosomal RNA is filed under the name uncultured bacterium. RNAcentral's name for it is "partial 16S ribosomal RNA". It matches the Rfam family "Bacterial small subunit ribosomal RNA", at positions 28 to 507 of the family's 1533-position model. The record is from RNAcentral.
GACGAACGCUGGCGGCGUGCUUAACACAUGCAAGUCGAACGGAAAGGCCCUGCUUUUGUGGGGUGCUCGAGUGGCGAACGGGUGAGUAACACGUGAGUAACCUGCCCUUGACUUUGGGAUAACUUCAGGAAACUGGGGCUAAUACCGGAUAGGAGCUCCUGCUGCAUGGUGGGGGUUGGAAAGUUUCGGCGGUUGGGGAUGGACUCGCGGCUUAUCAGCUUGUUGGUGGGGUAGUGGCUUACCAAGGCUUUGACGGAUAGCCGGCCUGAGAGGGUGACCGGCCACAUUGGGACUGAGAUACGGCCCAGACGCCUACGGGAGGCAGCAGUGGGGAAUAUUGCGGAAUGGGCGGAAGCCUGAUGCAGCAACGCCGCGUGCGGGAUGACGGCCUUCGGGUUGUAAACCGCUUUCGCCUGUGACGAAGCGUGAGUGACGGUAAUGGGUAAAGAAGCACCGGCUAACUACGUG